AAGGAGCUCUGGGCAUCUGUUGGAGGCUCCUCCGUGACAGUAGGUCUCCCAUAGGAGAUUGCUGAGUCCGGAGGCUAGGCAGAAAUGAGGAGUGUGUCUGUGGCCUGCCGUACUGGCAGCUUGGGCCAUCUGUAUGGGCAGUUCCUGCUGGGUGUGGACAUUCUCCAUCACUUCAAGUGCCCUGCAAGCCCAGGGUCCUCUCUGGGACUGUGAGGGUGUCUAGAAAUGUCUUCCUUCCAUCCAACAGAAUCAAAAACAACUGUCUAAGCCAAGCGUGUGUUGUCCCAAAAAAUCCGGCCCCGGCACCAUUGUGGGUUUCAGAUGUGAAGUUUCGUUUCUGGGAUCGGGAUCUGAGUCUGAGGCUUCUCAUUGUGAUUUCUCAUUGUGCCAGUUACACCAAAGCCCAUGGUCCAUUCUAGGUUUGCUGGUGACCGGGCUCCUCGUUCCUUGCCAGCUUGGCUUCCCUUGGGUUGGAAACCUGCUCUCACCAAUUAAUGCAGAGAGCUGAAGCAUUCCUUCACAGCAACCCUUGUGCAGUCUUCCCAGAGCUCAGACCGUUUCCCAAGCUCAGACAGGUGUUACAUUGCAAGACUGAGAUCUGAUAGGGGGCUGGAAGCCUGUCUCUGGCUUGCCACGCCCCUCCAUGCCCUGCUGAUCUUCUGUUCACCCCAACUCUCCAACUCUGUCAGCGCUGCGUCAGUGCAGAUACUGAGUGUUAAUUGUCAAGUUGGAGGUACCCAGAAGCACCUGAGAGAUGGGCUUCUGGGCAUGCCUGUGGGGGACGAUCAUAAAUGAACUGAUGCAGGAAGACCCAUCUGAACUGAGGGCAGGACCUGGUGUGGAUCCUGGACUGUAUAAAACGGAGCGAUGAAGCUAAGAGAAACAUGCCCUUCUUGCCUUCUGCUUCCUGAUUGUAGAUGGGAUGUGAUCAGCUGCAUCAGGAUCCUGCUACGGAUGCCCUUGCCUGAACCGUGAGCCAGAAUGAACCAUUUUCCCUUGA
Molecule: long non-coding RNA, 1000 nt
Organism: Mus musculus (house mouse)
Lineage: Eukaryota; Metazoa; Chordata; Mammalia; Rodentia; Muridae
Gene: Hk1os
Product: hexokinase 1, opposite strand
Exons: 2
Source: RefSeq, marked validated